Molecule: ribosomal RNA, 367 nt
Filed under: uncultured bacterium
Lineage: Bacteria
Description: bacterial SSU rRNA
Rfam family: Bacterial small subunit ribosomal RNA
Source: RNAcentral
ACGGAGGAUCCAAGCGUUAUCCGGAAUCAUUGGGUUUAAAGGGUCCGUAGGCGGUUUAAUAAGUCAGUGGUGAAAGCCCAUCGCUCAACGGUGGAACGGCCAUUGAUACUGUUAAACUUGAAUUAUUAGGAAGUAACUAGAAUAUGUAGUGUAGCGGUGAAAUGCUUAGAGAUUACAUGGAAUACCAAUUGCGAAGGCAGGUUACUACUAAUGGAUUGACGCUGAUGGACGAAAGCGUGGGUAGCGAACAGGAUUAGAUACCCUGGUAGUCCACGCCGUAAACGAUGGAUACUAGCUGUUGGGAGCAAUUUCAGUGGCUAAGCGAAAGUGAUAAGUAUCCCACCUGGGGAGUACGUUCGCAAGAAUG